AUGACAACACCAGCUGGCACAUGCGACGAAGAGGGAGAGAUCGUUUAGAGCCAUUCUUUCCGUCGAAACUUCUACGUGAAUCAAAUGCUACAUAUUCUAUGGAGAUAGACGUUGUUGAUUAUGAUGUCAUACGUAGUUCUUUAAGAACAUAAAUAUCGAUUUCUUCCAAAAAAAAAAAACGCCCAGAAAUCAUCGAGUACGAGGUCUAAUGAGUACAUCAUUGCAGCCCUGAGGUAAAACGACUGGGCAGAAAUUUCCACUAUACACCUCUAUGAUCAUCCUCUUUAGCAGAUAUGGUGGAGAGGAAAGUAGAGGUGGUUGCAAGGUGGAAGUCUUGGAAGAGGAAGCAACUCCAUUGAUUACAAUUCUACAAAAUCCAAAUGCAAUAUAAUCUUCAGAUGAUUAGUGAACGAUAUCUAG
This 420-nucleotide long non-coding RNA is filed under the name Helianthus annuus (common sunflower). The record is from RNAcentral. Lineage: Eukaryota; Viridiplantae; Streptophyta; Magnoliopsida; Asterales; Asteraceae.